UUUCAGUGACUGCUGCUUAUACCACAGGUUAAUACACUCUACUGAUCCCUGAUGGGAGAAUCUUCACCUCUGCCAACAAAGAAGCCUGGUGGAUAUUUGUUUGCAGUCUGAUGAUGGGACAUCAUGCUCUGCAUCUUCAAAGUUUGUCUCUUGAUUAUUAUUCAUACACAGUAAUGUGAAGCAUGCUUAUAUCUAGUAUAACUGGACCAACCUGGUGCUCUUCAUUUAUGGAGGCUGUUGAGUCUGAAUGUUGGAUGUUGUGUAUCUCGUGUUCUCUGGGCUUUGUUGUCCUCAGUCUUUUUGCAGGAUCAGAAAACAAAACCAGGAGGCACGUAAAUGUUUCUUCUCCAAUUGGAUGAUGAUAAGACUGUGACAUGGGAUGCCACCUUUAGUCUUGUGAUGAAGCAAAGCUCAGGAAGAAGUGUGAUUAAAUGGUACCCACAUGUGUGCUGCUGAGAAGGAUGUACAGGGGCACCUGCAGCCAAAUCCAAGCCUCCUCAGAUGGUGAUGGUGUGGAGAGACAGUGGUGUUUCCUCAGAAGAACUAGCAGAGUCACAAAGGACACGAGUCCAUCUCACCCCCUUGACUUGCUGACUGAUGCUCGUCUGCACUGCACAGAGGAAAUCAACUGACCGAGGAAUGGAGAAAUGGAAUCAAAGGGAGAAGUUUUUGAUGUUUUUGUAAUGAUGUAAGUAAAUCUCCAGUUUCUGAGUGAGGGAGAGAGGAGUCAUCAUCCAGGUAAAGUGACGUGGAUCAGUGGAUACACUUGUCUCCCCUUUAAAGGAGACACUCUUAGAGAGAGACGAUCCGAGUCAUCAUAAAAUGUUAGUGCUUUCAAAUACACAAACAUUUUUAAAGGACAAAAUCGAACAUCCCACUUUGACUGUAAUACAAUUAAAUCUUUGCAUGUGUGUUUUCAAACUCUCAGAUGGGCAGGAUAUCACUAUUGGACUGUCUAACCUGCAGGAGCAGCACUGAAUGACCACCACACAUGAGCAUGUUCCUGCAACAUUCAGCAGCUUUGCUUUUGUGUCAAAUGUCAAACAGCUGGAGAGGAGACUAAACCAGUGUACUGGGAUGUUUCACCAACACGUGCCAGACGCUGUAACUUCAUGGUUUCAUCACCAGAGACAGCCCCGCCCACCUCAGGACCUCGCCAUUGAUCAUGAUGAUUAUAAUAAUGACAGCGAGCGGAACUAAAACUGUAAAAAUCCAUGACCAGAAUGUUUAGAUGCUUUCUAAUUAUUAAUGAAUACUGAGAGCCUCUUUCUGUGUUUUGUCUGUUUUGUUUUGUUUUUUACCUCAUUUGUUACUAACAAAGUUCACCAAACUCACACAGUUUACAUUCUGUAUGUUUCCAUCUUUACCAGCCACACUCUACCCGCAAUUAAGCAAAUAAUCCUUAGAAAUCGUCGUUUUUCUCUUUUGUAAUUGAUGAUAAUUCAGUGAAUAUACUGCGCUGCUUCCUUUUAUUGCAUCACACAUUGCUUUAAGUUUUUCAGUGUCCAGUUAUUUUUUUACUGCUGUUUGAAUUCUCUGCAUGUUUGACCCUGUAGGCUGUUUAAUGGACUGCUUGUCUUGUAACCGCUGCCUGUUUUUGACUAAAGAUUUGGAUUUCUGACUUUAACACAGCCUCUGCGUGUCCUCUCUUUGUGUCCUCGUCCUCUGUGAAUGUGUUGCAUGUGUCACAGAUUCAUUUUAUUAACAGCUUUCCCACAGUGAGUUGCAUCAGCAUUCAUUCACAGCACAUUUCAGAAGGAUUCAGAUUAAUACAGUGAUCUUAUAGUCAGAAUUAUCCUGACAGACUGCCACUGUAAAUUAUCUUUCAUCAGGUCAAUUUUAAAGUUCAGUAUUUCAAAGCAGGCAUUAUGAAGAAUCAUAUUGGCAUUAGGACUGUACCAAUAUGUACUAACAAAGUCAAAGUUUUUUAAUUAUGCUAGAAUAUUGGAAGACAAUCAACUUUUAGUGUUUUCUGCAUAUUAAUUAUACUGAAAUAGAGAUGGUGACCCUAACUGUACAGAAGCACUAAACAACUGACAAUCUAACAGACAUUAUUGGCCUGAGCCGUCAUGCACAGUGAGUCUGAUGCUAUGCUGUGAGAGUCUGAUAAGCAUGUUUCUGGUCAGUUUGGAAGAAAUAACAUCACAAUGUUGAUCUUUUUUUCAAUAUUCCUUUUACAACAAACUGUGAUCAAAGCUACUUAUGUUCACAGCAUGUAAUAAUACUGACAGUCCAGGGCAUUGUGGUCUGUUGAGCUAGGGUUAGGGUUAGGGUUAACAAUUCAGACAUAUGUAAUCAAUCUCUUGCUGGAUAUAACAAACACCUAGGAAUUCAUAUUAUAAUUUGAUUUUCAUGAAAUAUUCAUAUUCAGUAUCAGUCAUUUUAUAUUAUAACCAUGUAUCCACCCAGGCUCAUGGUGGGGCAGGGCUCUGUCCUGGGAUGCUUGAGUACAAGGUAAUGUACACCCUGACCAGGUAUCCAGUCUGUCACAGUUGUUUUCAAUAUUUGGUUCUAAAAUAUGAGUGAAAACAAAAAUCCAACUAGGAUUCUUGCAUAUGAUGGGUGAAGUCUGUCUUUGACUGUAUUGUCCAGCUGAUCCAUCAAACCCCCAGCAGGUGAACCUUAUUCAUGACAUGGUAACAAUGUAAAAAAUUAAACAGAAACAGUCUAAAUGUAAAGUGCAUUCUAAACUCCUCUUCAAUAAAUUAUAUGCAAAGAGUCAUUCAGGACUGUAAAACGUGAACUACAGAACCCAGAGUCUUCAUCAUUAAAUCUGUGGUUGCUUCAUUUUUCUAUCCUAUCUCAGAUACUUUAAAGGUUUUAGUAAAGUUGCAUUCUCAUGGUGAGGCAAAGUGUUUUAUGUGUGUGUGUGCGUGCGUGUCAUGAACGGCUGUAAAAGCCCUUUAAUUACAGAUCAAAGCGGGGUUUGAGUUCGAGUUACGGCAGACUGGCGCUACUUCUAAACGGAACGCAGCCUUCCUACGGCGGACAGCUAAUAACAGGAAUCGGACGCGGUCCACCCUAGUCCACAGCAACCACCAUAGCAACAGCCUAGCAUGUCUUUAAAACACAUUCUUUAUUCAUAACUAUCAAAAACGUGAAAUGAUUUGUAAAGUGUGGAAGUGUUACAGCUGCAGAGAGCUAUGGCGGUAUCUUUGGAAGCUGUUUACAUAGCUAAUAUACGAUGUAACCAUGGAGACAGUCAGUCACGUGAGCUAGCGGUGCACGUUUACUACAGUGAAUAAGGUGAUUGUGUGCACAGCGUCCACACGCUGCACAGGGUAAAGACAUUACUUCAAUAUUGUUUUAUAUUUAUAUAUAUUUGCCUUCUGCUGACCAUCACCUCAGGUUCACCAUUACAGUUUCAGCAUACAAAUGUACACUGUCUAAAUAUGAACACAUUCAAAAAAAUCAUGUCUCAGAAAUAAGCACAGCUGUUCAUGUUUGUCAUUGUGUGGAUGCUUUAAGGCAUCCACACUAUUGAGUUCCUGUUUCUCUUUAUUCUUUAUAAUUAAGCAUCCACACUAUUGUUUUCCUGUUUCUCUUUAUUCUUUAUCUCUACUUUAUUCUAGUUGCUCCGUACAUUUUUUGGCACUUAACUACUUCCACAAUUUUCAGCCGAUUUUUACGGUUCAAAUUUUAAACUAUUCUGCUAAUGUACGCUAUAUCUUUUGGUAUUUUUCACUAUUAUACUUUUUAAAAUAUUACACUUUUUUCUUUU
This is a long non-coding RNA of Oreochromis niloticus (Nile tilapia), 3721 nucleotides long. NCBI's taxonomy places the organism in Eukaryota, Metazoa, Chordata, Actinopteri, Cichliformes, Cichlidae. The record is from Ensembl.